AGGGAGACAGGUAGACCGGGUGCUCAUUACACGAGGACAGAGGGAGACAGGUAGACCGGGUGCUCAAUACACGAGGACAGAGGGAGACAGGUAGACCGGGUGCUCAAUACACGAGGACAGAGGGAGACAGGUAGACCGGGUGCUCAAUACACGAGGACAGAGGGAGACAGGUAGACCGGGUGCUCAAUACACGAGGACAGAG
Molecule: long non-coding RNA, 202 nt
Organism: Perca fluviatilis (European perch)
Lineage: Eukaryota; Metazoa; Chordata; Actinopteri; Perciformes; Percidae
Exons: 3
Source: RefSeq, a predicted model, not a curated record